Molecule: long non-coding RNA, 455 nt
Filed under: Brassica napus (rape)
Lineage: Eukaryota; Viridiplantae; Streptophyta; Magnoliopsida; Brassicales; Brassicaceae
Description: long non-coding RNA (BNAP_LNC008118)
Source: RNAcentral
GGUUAUAAUUUUUUCGGUUCAUUUUUGGUUCGGUUGUAUUUUUUAGCUUUUUGGUUUAAGACAUAUGGGAAAGAAACCUUUCAAUUGUUUAUAAAAUAUGGGUUUUGUUUUUGGUUUGAUUCAAAUAACAAAGUUAGGAAUCUGAGACUAUUUGAUUCGGUUUCGGUUUCUUGGAUAAUUUUGAAUAAUUUCGGUAAAAAUAGAAUUUUGAUUUUUGUAGAUGAAAAAUUAGGUAACUUGGUUAAAUUCAAAUAUUUCAGAUAAAAUAUUCAGGUGGUUAGAUUUUUGGCAAAUUUGGAUAUUUCUCUUAAAUAUUUCGGAGAAAAAUUAAUAAGGAUAUCCGUUUUAUUAUUAUUUCAAUUUAUAAGUAAUUAGAAAAAUCAUAUUUAUUAAUGAUUUUUAUAAAAGAAUAUAUUUAGAGAAAAAAAUCAUAUUGAUUAAUGAAUAAAUCAUUU